This 305-nucleotide ribosomal RNA is filed under the name uncultured bacterium. RNAcentral describes it as "bacterial SSU rRNA". It matches the Rfam family "Bacterial small subunit ribosomal RNA", at positions 333 to 637 of the family's 1533-position model. The record is from RNAcentral.
AAUGUCCUACGGAGGCAGCAGUGAGGAAUAUUGGUCAAUGGGCGCGAGCCUGAACUAGCCAAGUCGCGUGAGGGAAGACGGUCCUAUGGGUUGUAAACCUCUUUUGUCGGGGAGCAAAAGACGCCACGCGUGGCGUUCCGAGAGUACCCGAAGAAAAAGCAUCGGCUAACUCCGUGCCAGCAGCCGCGGUAAUACGGAGGAUGCGAGCGUUAUCCGGAUUUAUUGGGUUUAAAGGGUGCGCAGGCGGAAGAUCAAGUCAGCGGUAAAAUUGAGAGGCUCAACCUCUUCGAGCCGUUGAAACUGGU